GACGAACGCUGGCGGCGUGCUUAACACAUGCAAGUCGAACGGAGUGGCGAACGGGUGAGUAACACGUGGGUGAACUGCCUUGCACUUCGGGAUAAGCUUGGGAAACUGGGUCUAAUACCGGAUAGUGCAAGAUGAGCUCGCAGCCUAUCAGCUUGUUGGCGGGGUAAAGGCCUACCAAGGCGUCGACGGGUAGCCUGCCUGAGAGGGUGUACGGCCACCUUAGGACUGGGAUACGGCCCAGACUCCUACGGCGGGCAGCAGUGGGGAAUAGUGCACAAUGGGCGGAGGCCUGAUGCAGCGACGCCGCGUGGGAGAUGAAGGCCUUCGGGUUGUAAACUCCUUUCGGCAGAAACGCGGUACCUGUAUAAGAAGCACCGGCUAACUACGUGCCAGCAGCCGCGGUAAUAC
This 408-nucleotide ribosomal RNA is filed under the name uncultured bacterium. RNAcentral describes it as "partial 16S ribosomal RNA". It matches the Rfam family "Bacterial small subunit ribosomal RNA", at positions 28 to 526 of the family's 1533-position model. The record is from RNAcentral.